GGAUACGGGUAACGGGUCAAGUUAUGGAAGACGGAUACGGAUACGAGGAGCCACUACCCGUGCCCAUACCUGCGGGUGCCAUCUUGAUCUCUCCCUGUCUCUUUGCUUUCUCUUCUCUUCUCUCCUCAUCCCCAUCUCUUCUCUCCCUACCUGCGACCUGACGGCCGCUGCCUACCCCGACCCAGGACCCUCCGCCCCCUGCUCCGACACGGCCGGCCGCCGCUCCCUACCCUGACCCAGGACCCGCCGCCCCCUGCCCCGAGCCCGGCGGCCCCCGACCCCUGCCGCUCCCUACCCCGACCCAGCCGCCGCCGGUCGGCCGUCCCCAUCCUAGGCCACCGCCGGAUCCGCCACGCCGACCCGACCUGCAGCCGCCGGAUCCCGGCCCCCCUCCUCUAAGAUAUCUCUCUCUUUCUCACUCUCUCUCUCUCUCUCAUAUCUCUCUCUUUCUCACUCUCUGAUCUGAUUUUUCUUUCAUUUUUCUGCAGAUCGACAAGGAGCCCAUCCGUGGAGAGGAGGAGCCCCUUCCCGCCCCUCCGUCCGCCCGGCCGCCGUGGAGUGUUCCAACGGAUCCCGUAUGACGCGUGAUGGAGAUGAAAUGGAGGAGUGCGCCGCUGCCAUGGAGGAGUGCACCGCUGGAGAUGAAGUCGUGGAGUGCACUGGCCCUGUUUUGGGUUUGGGUCCUGGCAGCAGCACGCUGCUCGCCCGUGUUUUUUUUUAUUCUGAUAAAAUGGUAUCACUGUCGGGCGCAAGUAAAGGCCCGGCACUAGUAAGUUACUCAUCACUAACGAUAAUUUCUGGCGGGUGAGAUGCCUGUUGUUUUACACCCGUUACUAAUGAGUAUUUCUGUACUGGUGUUUUCAAGAGUAGAAUCUGCGAUCUGGUCAACCCGAGAGCCCCACAGAUCGAUCAAAGGGGUCUCAACUAGAGUUGGGGACUUCGGUGGCUUCCCCACUCCAAACGGAGGAAGUGAGUUCUGGCCGCUAAUAAAAU
Brachypodium distachyon (stiff brome) is the source of this 993-nucleotide long non-coding RNA. RefSeq lists it as uncharacterized. The transcript has 2 exons. Lineage: Eukaryota; Viridiplantae; Streptophyta; Magnoliopsida; Poales; Poaceae. The record is from RefSeq and is a predicted model, not a curated record.